AAUAUUUUAUUCUCAGCCCAUGUCAUCAAUUGCUCUUGAGCGAAAUCUCCUCCCAUCCGUUGUCUGAUUGGCAUUUCGCAAGGAUUCCUGGGUAAUUAAAGUGUGCGGAGCCUGCAUCUAUGUGGGCUUUGCGGAAGACCACUUCAAGGGUACAAAGGGGGCGCUGCUGAGCACACUUCAGAGCAUUAAAAUUCUGAAUGGGACGGCCUACGAACUCGUAGACUCGACGAGCACGCGCAAUUUAAGUCCACGAGACCGAAAGUCCACAUGAAGUGCGCCAUUUGGGACAGGGCCAUUGGCUGCAUCCGAAACUUAGGCAGCUGACUUGCUGCCUCGCUACUGUAUCAGGCAAUGACUUGCAGGCAGCGUUUUUGCACGAAGGUACCUCAUGAAACUGAUUUUGGACAGGCUUCUGAGGCAGAGGAAUGGAUCUACAGCAUGAUGUACAGCAAAAUAUAGAGUUAUGGUGAUAACUAGUGGAUAUUUAGUACAAACGUACAUUUUACACACAAACUGACACCGACCGCAACUUUCAGAUGCCAUUUUUAUUUUUGGCUUAACUGUCACAGAAUUUAAUGCGCAGAAUUGUGGGAUAUCAAAGGCAGCGAGGAUACAUCUAUGCUGCCUUCAAAAAAAAAAAAAAACACGGCCAGAUGAAGGCAACUCAGGAGACAGGAUCUGAAGCUAACAUGGAAUUCGGAUGUGUCUUGAUGCCCUCCAACCUUGGAAUGCAUCCUCUGAAGGCAGCAUUUUUCAGUUUUCAGAUGCAGCCAUCAUUUUCCCACACACUCUCUGCCUAAGAUGGCUUCAACUAGCUACAUGUGGUAUGGACCCCAUGCUUUAUACCAGCCAUUCAUUCUGCAUAUGCGCAGAAACCACCGCAGCUUCAACAGUCUCCAUACCCAUGCUCAAAGCAUGGGUCGAUGGUCAUCAUCAGCGUAUCAACAAUACAUUAGGCCUACAACUCAGGAUGUUAUAUUAGCGCAAAAGCUUGAGCAGCUCUUUACGUGGUUCUCCCGCUGGAGAGAACACCACUGCUGCACACUGCCAGCCGUCAGUCCCUCGAGAGGAGGAGAAGAAGGAUAUGAAGAAGGAAAAUGAGGAGUAGAAGGAGAACAAGGGGAAAAAAAAAAAUUUUCUCCCAGCGGAGAGAACACUCUUAAGCACCCCUGCUGCUUAAAUUAAAGAGGGGCCUGCUAUUCUCUCCCUCCUUCUAGAUGGGAGAAUACCCCUCUGCUAGCCAGUAGGCUGCAUUAAGGAUAUCUCUAACUUGUCUUUCUCUUUUGCAGGAAUGGAACAAGGACAGUUUUGGGAUGGUUCUUCACGCUGCUCUCCUACCUCUCAUGCCAAGCUCCGGGAUAUGCUGCUUUGUUCUUGCGGUUCUCCCGCUGGAGAGAACACCUUUUGCUGCUAUAACUGCAGGGGCCUGCUGUUCAUCCCUCAGCAGGGGAUGAACGCCCCUUGCUACUUUAAUUAAAGAGGGGCCUGUUAUUCUCUCCCUCCUUUUAGAGGGGUGGAACCAGGAUGGUUUUGGGGGGUUCUUCUUCAGGCAGUAAUACCUCUUAUGUUUGGGGAGUUAAUGUUUAAGCUCUUGUAUGUUCAGUUAAUUUGGGAACAAGAACCCCCAUAAGGAACCAUACCGCCAAAGAUAAAAUGUGUUCAAUAAACUCAAACUACUGCUCGAUCACUAAGGCUUUCAAGUCCCGGUUGGCAUGGACCUUACUGCUGAGAGACAUUCAUCCUGAUAACCAAGCUACAGGAUAGACGUCCCACUGCCACAUCUACACGAUUACCACUGUUUGCUUUCAAAGACAUUAUUAAGUGUCUUAAUUGUCAUGUAUUUCCAAGCUGAUGGUUCUGGGGGGUUAAUGUUUAAGCUCUUGUAUGUUCAAUUAAUUUGGGAGCAAGAGCCCCCAUAAGGAACCAUACUGCCAAAGAUAAAUUGUGUUCAAUAAACUCAAGUAACUUGCCAAAGUGAUCCUGUCUGAACUUGCUUUGUAACCCAAAUAAAUAAGUUUUUCCUUCAUUAAAAUGAAUGCUUAGUUUGUGGUUCAUCCUUGUGCUUUUGGGUCCGCCACCAGUCAUUUCACUUCACUCUCGUCACGUGACUCCUGCUCCCCCUGAGCUGCUUGGAACAGACUGAUUCUGUACAGACUGUAAUAUGCUCUGGCC
Cyprinus carpio (common carp) is the source of this 2172-nucleotide long non-coding RNA. RefSeq lists it as uncharacterized. The record is from RefSeq and is a predicted model, not a curated record. The transcript is spliced from 3 exons. NCBI's taxonomy places the organism in Eukaryota, Metazoa, Chordata, Actinopteri, Cypriniformes, Cyprinidae.